RNAcentral lists this ribosomal RNA (50 nucleotides) under Chloromonas reticulata. Its description in RNAcentral is "partial 28S ribosomal RNA". The record is from RNAcentral. Lineage: Eukaryota; Viridiplantae; Chlorophyta; Chlorophyceae; Chlamydomonadales; Chlamydomonadaceae.
GACCUGAGCUCAGGCAAGAUUACCCGCUGAACUUAAGCAUAUCAAUAACC